This is a ribosomal RNA of Cercocebus atys (sooty mangabey), 111 nucleotides long. The record is from Ensembl. Lineage: Eukaryota; Metazoa; Chordata; Mammalia; Primates; Cercopithecidae.
CACUAGAGCCAUACCACCCUGAACACACCUGACCUCCUCUGAUCUGGGAAGCUAAGCAGGCCUGGGCCUGGUUAAUGCUUGGAUGGGGGAGAAAGACAGAGGUUUUAGCCU